This 442-nucleotide unclassified non-coding RNA is filed under the name Hevea brasiliensis (rubber tree). Lineage: Eukaryota; Viridiplantae; Streptophyta; Magnoliopsida; Malpighiales; Euphorbiaceae. The record is from RNAcentral.
GACGACUGCAGAGAUGGGAGAUAAAAUCCAAUGUUUCGUGGUAAGAAAAGCACACCACAGAACCAACAAACCACUAGAGAUGACAAGAGUACUCACAAACAAAAAUAAGCAGAAAAGGAUGAUGGCUAAGGCAAAUCUAUCGACCAAGGGUUCCGAGACUGCAGUUACUCAUGAGCUUGUGACCUAGACCUAGUGUGCAACUACAAACUACUCUUGCUCUGCUAUCUGUUGGACGUGCACCCCCUGCUGACCUUCCUCAGUUUGUGCUCCGUUACUCUUCUUUUCAUACUUCUCUUCUUCAUCAUCAUAUUCCGUAACUUCAUAGUCCUCGUCUUCACCAAGCUCACCAGUGAACAAUGCUACUGCAUGAGGGAUUACUUUGACCCUGAUUAUUGAGCCAAUUUCAUAAUCGUGUUCCAUUUGAUACUGGAGUUGUUCAAGA